GACAUGGUAGCUGAGUGGGUAAAGCGCUUAUAGUAAUUAGUCGGUAUUGAAUAUCGAUGGUUCGAAUCCAUCCCGGAGCAAGUUA
This 85-nucleotide transfer RNA is filed under the name Rhamnusium bicolor. RNAcentral's name for it is "tRNA-OTHER". It matches the Rfam family "tRNA". From Rfam's summary of the family: Transfer RNA (tRNA) molecules are approximately 80 nucleotides in length. Their secondary structure includes four short double-helical elements and three loops (D, anti-codon, and T loops). Lineage: Eukaryota; Metazoa; Arthropoda; Insecta; Coleoptera; Cerambycidae. The record is from RNAcentral.